RNAcentral lists this transfer RNA (69 nucleotides) under Ipomoea nil (Japanese morning glory). It matches the Rfam family "tRNA". From Rfam's summary of the family: Transfer RNA (tRNA) molecules are approximately 80 nucleotides in length. Their secondary structure includes four short double-helical elements and three loops (D, anti-codon, and T loops). Lineage: Eukaryota; Viridiplantae; Streptophyta; Magnoliopsida; Solanales; Convolvulaceae. The record is from Rfam by way of RNAcentral.
GUGGUUAUAGCUUAAUGGGUAAAGCUUUUAUUUUGUAAUUAAAUGAUUAAGGGUUCAAACCUUACCUUG